Molecule: ribosomal RNA, 732 nt
Filed under: Paenibacillus validus
Lineage: Bacteria; Bacillati; Bacillota; Bacilli; Caryophanales; Paenibacillaceae
Description: bacterial SSU rRNA
Rfam family: Bacterial small subunit ribosomal RNA
Source: RNAcentral
GGACGAACGCUGGCGGCGUGCCUAAUACAUGCAAGUCGAGCGGACUUAUCCUUCGGGAUAGGUUAGCGGCGGACGGGUGAGUAACACGUAGGCAACCUGCCUGUAAGAUCGGGAUAACUACCGGAAACGGUAGCUAAGACCGGAUAGCUGGUUUCUCCGCAUGGGGGAAUCAUGAAACANGGGGCAACCUNUGGCUUACGGAUGGGCCUGCGGCGCAUUAGCUAGUUGGUGGGGUAAYGGCCCACCAAGGCGACGAUGCGUAGCCGACCUGAGAGGGUGAUCGGCCACACUGGGACUGAGACACGGCCCAGACUCCUACGGGAGGCAGCAGUAGGGAAUCUUCCGCAAUGGGCGCAAGCCUGACGGAGCAACGCCGCGUGAGUGAUGAAGGUUUUCGGAUCGUAAAGCUCUGUUGCCAAGGAAGAACGCCUCGGAGAGUAACUGCUCUGAGGGUGACGGUACUUGAGAAGAAAGCCCCGGCUAACUACGUGCCAGCAGCCGCGGUAAUACGUAGGGGGCAAGCGUUGUCCGGAAUUAUUGGGCGUAAAGCGCGCGCAGGCGGUCUUUUAAGUUUGGUGUUUAAGCCCGGGGCUCAACCCCGGUUCGCACUGAAAACUGGGAGACUUGAGUGCAGGAGAGGAAAGCGGAAUUCCACGUGUAGCGGUGAAAUGCGUAGAGAUGUGGAGGAACACCAGUGGCGAAGGCGGCUUUCUGGACUGUAACUGACGCUGA